UUUUACAGGCUUAACACAUGCAAGUCGAGGGGCAGCAUGGUCUUAGCUUGCUAAGGCCGAUGGCGACCGGCGCACGGGUGAGUAACACGUAUCCAACCUGCCGUCUACUCUUGGACAGCCUUCUGAAAGGAAGAUUAAUACAAGAUGGCAUCAUGAGUCCGCAUGUUCACAUGAUUAAAGGUAUUCCGGUAGACGAUGGGGAUGCGUUCCAUUAGAUAGUAGGCGGGGUAACGGCCCACCUAGUCUUCGAUGGAUAGGGGUUCUGAGAGGAAGGUCCCCCACAUUGGAACUGAGACACGGUCCAAACUCCUACGGGAGGCAGCAGUGAGGAAUAUUGGUCAAUGGGCGAGAGCCUGAACCAGCCAAGUAGCGUGAAGGAUGACUGCCCUAUGGGUUGUAAACUUCUUUUAUAAAGGAAUAAAGUCGGGUAUGGAUACCCGUUUGCAUGUACUUUAUGAAUAAGGAUCGGCUAACUCCGUGCCAGCAGCCGCGGUAAUACGGAGGAUCCGAGCGUUAUCCGGAUUUAUUGGGUUUAAAGGGAGCGUAGAUGGAUGUUUAAGUCAGUUGUGAAAGUUUGCGGCUCAACCGUAAAAUUGCAGUUGAUACUGGAUAUCUUGAGUGCAGUUGAGGCAGGCGGAAUUCGUGGUGUAGCGGUGAAAUGCUUAGAUAUCACGAAGAACUCCGAUUGCGAAGGCGGCCUGCUAAGCUGCAACUGACAUUGAGGCUCGAAAGUGUGGGUAUCAAACAGGAUUAGAUACCCUGGUAGUCCACACGGUAAACGAUGAAUACUCGCUGUUUGCGAUAUACUGCAAGCGGCCAAGCGAAAGCGUUAAGUAUUCCACCUGGGGAGUACGCCGGCAACGGUGAAACUCAAAGGAAUUGACGGGGGCCCGCACAAGCGGAGGAACAUGUGGUUUAAUUCGAUGAUACGCGAGGAACCUUACCCGGGCUUAAAUUGCAGAUGAAUUACGGUGAAAGCCGUAAGCCGCAAGGCAUCUGUGAAGGUGCUGCAUGGUUGUCGUCAGCUCGUGCCGUGAGGUGUCGGCUUAAGUGCCAUAACGAGCGCAACCCUUGUUGUCAGUUACUAACAGGUUCCGCUGAGGACUCUGACAAGACUGCCAUCGUAAGAUGUGAGGAAGGUGGGGAUGACGUCAAAUCAGCACGGCCCUUACGUCCGGGGCUACACACGUGUUACAAUGGGGGGUACAGAGGGCCGCUACCACGCGAGUGGAUGCCAAUCCCCAAAACCUCUCUCAGUUCGGACUGGAGUCUGCAACCCGACUCCACGAAGCUGGAUUCGCUAGUAAUCGCGCAUCAGCCACGGCGCGGUGAAUACGUUCCCGGGCCUUGUACACACCGCCCGUCAAGCCAUGGGAGCCGGGGGUACCUGAAGUGCGUAACCGCGAGGAGCGCCCUAGGGUAAAACUGGUGACUG
This 1435-nucleotide ribosomal RNA is filed under the name uncultured organism. RNAcentral's name for it is "SSU rRNA". It matches the Rfam family "Bacterial small subunit ribosomal RNA". The record is from RNAcentral.